GAUGAACGCUGGCGGCGUGCUUAACACAUGCAAGUCGAACGGGAACCAAGGGGUUCUUGCACUUUUUGGUGAGGGUGGCGAGCGAGUGAGUCACACGUGAGUAACCUGUCAUUUUCGUUGAGAUCUGCAUUAGAAAGGGUGUUUACUGCCUUGUGUUCUGUCUGCCUCGCAUGGUGGGGGUGGGAACGGCUUUGGGUGGGGUGGGGGGGGCUCGGGGUCUAUCAGCUGGUUGGGGGGGUGAUGGCUUACCAGGGCUUUGGCGGGUAGCCGGCCUGAGGGGGUAUACGGCCACAUUGGGACUGAGAUACGGCGCAGACGGCAGCGGGGGGCAGCAGUGGGGAAUAUGGCACAAUGGGCGCAAGCCUGAUGGAGCGACGCCGGGUGGGGGAUGACGGCCUUCGGGUUGUAACCUUCUUUCGCGAGGGACGAAGCGCAAGUGACGGUACCUGGAGAAGAAGCACCGGCUAACUACGUG
This 475-nucleotide ribosomal RNA is filed under the name uncultured bacterium. Its description in RNAcentral is "partial 16S ribosomal RNA". It matches the Rfam family "Bacterial small subunit ribosomal RNA", at positions 28 to 507 of the family's 1533-position model. The record is from RNAcentral.